This 253-nucleotide ribosomal RNA is filed under the name uncultured bacterium. Its description in RNAcentral is "partial 16S ribosomal RNA". It matches the Rfam family "Bacterial small subunit ribosomal RNA", at positions 524 to 776 of the family's 1533-position model. The record is from RNAcentral.
UACGAAGGGGGCUAGCGUUGUUUGGAAUUACUGGGCGUAAAGCGCACGUAGGCGGAUGGGUAAGUACCUUGUGAAAUCCCACGGCUCAACCGUGGAACUGCUCGGUAUACUGCUCGUCUUGAGCCAACUAGGGGCGACCGGAACAAACGGUGGAGCGGUGAAAUGCGUAGAUAUCGUUUGGAACGCCGAUGGUGAAAACAGGUCGCUGGGGUUGUGCUGACGCUGAGACACGAAAGCCAGGGGAGCGAACGGG